Molecule: ribosomal RNA, 1293 nt
Filed under: Triticum aestivum (bread wheat)
Lineage: Eukaryota; Viridiplantae; Streptophyta; Magnoliopsida; Poales; Poaceae
Description: partial small subunit ribosomal RNA
Source: RNAcentral
AUGAUGGAAGGCCAAGACCCUAUUCAAGGGUGUCGUGAAAUUCUAUGUGAAAACGGAUGGAGCCUUGUCAUUGAUGGUCUGCGGUCCAUUCAUGACUGGGACUUGAUAAAAUCAACCUUGUUAUCCUGGCCUGUAAGUCGUAGUAGCACUAUUGUCAUUACACGUGAAGAAAGCAUCGCCACAUAUUGUACAGAUGCGGAAGACUGUAUUCUCAACGUCAAGGGUCUAGAAGCCGACGAUGCCAUUUUUCUCUUCAGAAAGAUAACUUUGGACGAGAAGCAACUGCCCUCCCAGGCAGAGACAAUUUCAAGGCUUAUCAUGUCCAAAUGUGGCGGGCUUCCAGAAGUAAUAGUUGCCAUAGGCAAAUACGCCCGCAAACACAUAAGGAAUGAGAUGUUCUUGGAGUCUACAAAUGCAGGCUUCAUGGGAUGUUUAGAAACUAGCUCAGUUCUUCCUAGCUUAACAAGCCUAUUUUGUUGGAUGCAAUCAUACUUUGAUGCUUGCUCGGAUGAACUAAAGCCAUGCAUCUUCUAUAUGUCAGUCUUCCCAGCGGACCAGAGCAUUAGGCGGAAUCGCUUGCUCAGACGGUGGAUCGCAGACGGUUAUUCAUCUGGUGGUGGUGGCACCGCAGAGGAGAAGGUAGAAAAGCUCAUGUCUGAGUUGAUGAAGUUGAGCAUAUUAUAUCAGGAGCAACAGAAAUCAACAAUGAUAAGAAGCUACUUCAAAGUCAAUGGUUUCUUCCGUGAAUACAUCAAGUCACGGCCAAUGGAGGAUAACCUUGUGUUUGCACUAGAGGGGGAUUGCAGCCCCAGCUCACAGCUCACUGGACAACACCUAACCAUAAGCAGCAACUGGGAUAGAGAUGAUAUUGUAUUCAAGGGCCUGGACUUGUCAAGGCUACGGUCUUUGACAGUGUUCGGUGAGUGGAGAUCAUUCCUUGUAUGUGAUAAGAUGAAGCUGCUUCGGGUGCUUGACCUGGAGGGCACUAGUAGUACAUCAGAUGGUACUGCUAGUGUAACAGAUGAGGAUCUGGAGAAGAUCGUGAAGGAGUUUCCUCGCCUCAAGUUCAUGUCCUUGCGAGGAUGCGUGCACAUCACUCGUCUCCCAGAUUCAUUGGGUUCCAUGAGGCAGCUGGAGACUCUAGAUGUCAGGCACACCUCCAUAGUUGAGUUGUCACCUGCUAUCGUCACCAAGCUACACAAGUUGCAAUACAUUCGUGCCCGGAAACACCAUCAUCACAACCAAGGAGUGGAAGGAGCAAGAGAAGGAGAACAAGGAUUCAGAGUCGGAUGA